Molecule: ribosomal RNA, 1137 nt
Filed under: Vibrio vulnificus
Lineage: Bacteria; Pseudomonadati; Pseudomonadota; Gammaproteobacteria; Vibrionales; Vibrionaceae
Description: partial 23S ribosomal RNA
Rfam family: Bacterial large subunit ribosomal RNA
Source: RNAcentral
GUUAAGUGACUAAGCGUACACGGUGGAUGCCUUGGCAGUCAGAGGCGAUGAAGGACGUAGUAACUUGCGAUAAGCGUAGAUGAGGCAGUAACAGCCACUUGAGUCUACGAUUUCCGAAUGGGGAAACCCACUGGCAUAAGCCAGUAUCAUUGAGUGAAUACAUAGCUCAAUGAAGCGAACCGGGAGAACUGAAACAUCUAAGUACCCCGAGGAAAAGAAAUCAACCGAGAUUCCGAAAGUAGCGGCGAGCGAAAUUGGAUUAGCCCUUAAGCUUUACAUGUGUUAGACGAACGGUCUGGAAAGUCCGACGAUACAGGGUGAUAGUCCCGUAGUUGACGAUGCAUGUUCAGUGAAAUCGAGUAGGGCGGGACACGUGUUAUCCUGUCUGAAUAUGGGGGGACCAUCCUCCAAGGCUAAAUACUCCUGACUGACCGAUAGUGAACCAGUACCGUGAGGGAAAGGCGAAAAGAACCCCUGUGAGGGGAGUGAAAUAGAACCUGAAACCGUGUACGUACAAGCAGUAGGAGCACCUUCGUGGUGUGACUGCGUACCUUUUGUAUAAUGGGUCAGCGACUUAUAUUCAGUGGCAAGGUUAACCAUCUAGGGGAGCCGUAGGGAAACCGAGUCUUAACUGGGCGCCAUAGUCUCUGGAUAUAGACCCGAAACCGAGUGAUCUAGCCAUGGGCAGGUUGAAGGUUGAGUAACAUCAACUGGAGGACCGAACCGACUAAUGUUGAAAAAUUAGCGGAUGACUUGUGGCUAGGGGUGAAAGGCCAAUCAAACUCGGAGAUAGCUGGUUCUCCCCGAAAGCUAUUUAGGUAGCGCCUCGGACGAAUACUACUGGGGGUAGAGCACUGUUAAGGCUAGGGGGUCAUCCCGACUUACCAACCCUUUGCAAACUCCGAAUACCAGUAAGUACUAUCCGGGAGACACACGGCGGGUGCUAACGUCCGUCGUGGAGAGGGAAACAACCCAGACCGCCAGCUAAGGUCCCAAAUUACAGCUAAGUGGGAAACGAUGUGGGAAGGCUUAGACAGCUAGGAUGUUGGCUUAGAAGCAGCCAUCAUUUAAAGAAAGCGUAAUAGCUCACUAGUCGAGUCGGCCUGCGCGGAAGAUGUAACGGGGCUAAGUUGUAAA